UGCAGUCGACGAGCUUCCGUUGAUGACGUGCUUGCACUGAUUUCAACAAUGAAGCGAGUGGCGAACUGGUGAGUAACACGUGGGGAAUCUGCCCAGAAGCAGGGGAUAACACUUGGAAACAGGUGCUAAUACCGUAUAACAACAAAAUCCGCAUGGAUUUUGUUUGAAAGGUGGCUUCGGCUAUCACUUCUGGAUGAUCCCGCGGCGUAUUAGUUAGUUGGUGAGGUAAAGGCCCACCAAGACGAUGAUACGUAGCCGACCUGAGAGGGUAAUCGGCCACAUUGGGACUGAGACACGGCCCAAACUCCUACGGGAGGCAGCAGUAGGGAAUCUUCCACAAUGGACGAAAGUCUGAUGGAGCAAUGCCGCGUGAGUGAAGAAGGGUUUCGGCUCGUAAAACUCUGUUGUUAAAGAAGAACACCUUUGAGAGUAACUGUUCAAGGGUUGACGGUAUUUAACCAGAAAGCCACGGCUAACUACGUGCCAGCAGCCGCGGUAAUACGUAGGUGGCAAGCGUUGUCCGGAUUUAUUGGGCGUAAAGCGAGCGCAGGCGGUUUUUUAAGUCUGAUGUGAAAGCCUUCGGCUUAACCGGAGAAGUGCAUCGGAAACUGAGAGACUUGAGUGCAGAAGAGGACAGUGGAACUCCAUGUGUAGCGGUGGAAUGCGUAGAUAUAUGGAAGAACACCAGUGGCGAAAGGCGGCUGUCUAGUCUGUAACUGACGCUGAGGCUCGAAAGCAUGGUAGCGAACAGGAUUAGAUACCCUGGUAGUCCAUGCCGUAACGAUGAGUGCUAGUGUUGAGGGUUUCCGCCCUUCAGUGCUGCAGCUAACGCAUUAGCACUC
Molecule: ribosomal RNA, 842 nt
Filed under: Levilactobacillus brevis
Lineage: Bacteria; Bacillati; Bacillota; Bacilli; Lactobacillales; Lactobacillaceae
Description: bacterial SSU rRNA
Rfam family: Bacterial small subunit ribosomal RNA
Source: RNAcentral